This 4662-nucleotide long non-coding RNA is filed under the name Drosophila guanche. The record is from RNAcentral. Lineage: Eukaryota; Metazoa; Arthropoda; Insecta; Diptera; Drosophilidae.
CAUCCCUGUUUUUGCUCGUGUAUACUUUUUUGUGAUCUAUAUAUCGGGUAUAUUUUAUCGAUGAUUCCACGGUCACAUUCUCUGUCUUUCUCAUUAGUAAAGCGCCCCCACCUCCCCGCUCUACCAAAACCACCAAACUUUUUUUAAUUUUGUAAAAGUUUAAUUUCGUGUUCAUAGUGUGCGAGCUAGAAGUGAAAGCUAAAUCGCUAAAUCGCGUGCGCUAUGCGUCAGAUUGGAAGGCAAGCAAAUCGUCUUCAUAUUCAUUUUAGCAUAAACUCGCAUUUUAGAUCACCCAGCCUGCGCGUGUGGUAACAAUUGUAGUAAAUCCGAGUUCCCAGUUCAAUUAGAAGUACAGAUUGCACUUCUUUAAAAUAUUCGGAUACGAUAUCUCGUUUUGGACAGUACAUAUGUACAUACCUAUAAAACUGUAAUAUCAAAUAAUGUAAUCAAAAUGUGUGUGUAACCAAAGCGCUUUGGGUUUUUUGAGAGAGCUCUUAGCUACUCCACUUCUUGGGUACAUACAUAUAUGUACAGAAGUAUGUCUGUGGUCAAACGCAUCCCCAAUAAUAAAGAAAAAAAAGAGCACCUUGCAGUCAAACCACAAUCUUGUUGAUGCUUACUCGCGUUUCUUGCACUUUUAAAGAGGUAAGUACAAUAAAAGUUUCAAUAAUACGUUCUCGAAAGCAAAAAAAUACAUAAAUGCAUACAUACGCAUUUGUGUGUAAAUUAUGUACAUAUGUACACACGCACGAUGCACCGCAGCAGAGAGACCACGUCGGUCAGCCUCUGGUAAACUUGAAAUGAAGUGAACUAAUUAAUAUUUGUAAAUUGAAAAGUACAUAAGGAGCUCUUUCUCGUAUAUGUAUGUAAAUAUGUAUGAUUUUUGUCGAGCUGUUUUUGAUAUGCUGAGAAAACAGCCGUCCACUGUUGCUGUCGCAUCUUCCUUCCUGCUCAGCAUAAUCGGGAUAAAAAAAUAUAGCAGAAUCAGAACGAAACAUUGAAAGGAUUUUUAGUUCAAGUAAAACAAAAGAAGCGCUUGAUUCGGUGACCUGCAUUUUCCAAAUUCCCAACACAUGCAAACACUGUAACACAAAAACGGUCUCAGAGAGCAAACAAAGAAAAGAGCUUGGACAGGCGCAUAAAGCAACUAUAUAAGGAGGUCUCGUCGGAAAAAAUUAUGGACUAGUGCGAGUGAAAGGGUUCUCGCUGUAAGUGAGAGGGAAACGACAAUGGAGUGUGCUGAUUAUCCAUUUUUUUUUUUUUGAGGUUUUAAGUUACCGCUCUACCCUUGGGUAGAGGGGAAUUAUUUGGCCACCCGCCUUUACAAGGGGGAAAUCGCCACGUCGAAAUAUGUAACUUGUUACAGUUUUGCUCCAAUACUUACCUGGCGUAGAGGUUAUGUUCCCCACGUGCUUGCAGUGUGCCCAGACACGUAUAUUCGCUUUGCUGAUUAAUCAUUUGAAGGCAAAGUGAAAAAAAAUAAUAAUUGUUUCAUAAUUUAAUUUUUAAUAGUUUGCUACGUAAUGGCUACUGUUAGUGGCUAUGUGUUCUGAAAAAAUAAACAUUUAAAGAAAAAUAGAAAAAACAAUUUUGUCCGCAACCAACCUUCCGCGUCGACAAGCAAACGUGCAUUGAGAAUUGGGUAACGCAGCGAGUAACUCUGACACCGACGAGGCCUCCUUAUAUAGUUGCUUUAUGCCACCGACGAGGCCUCUUUAUAUAGUUGCUUCAUGGACAGGCGCAUACAUACAUACAUGUGUACAUACAUAUGUCAUUAUGUGCCAGCGCUCUUUUUUUAUACCCCGUACUCGAAGAGUAAAGGUAAAUAGGGUAUAUUGUAUUUGUGCGACUAACGCACAGAAGGAAGAGUGUCCGUCUGUUUGUCCUGAUGAGCGCCUAGUACUCAGAGACUAUAAGAGCUAGAGCCACCAAAUUUGCAUCCAGACUUCUGUAUGCUCACACUGUUACAAGUUUAUUUAAGAAAGGAUCCACGUUCAAUUCCGUUCCGUGUCUGUCUGUCUGUCCGUCUUGUUUGUCGGCUAGUUCUCAGAGAUUAUAAGAGCUAGAGCCACCAAAUUUUGGCUCCAGACUGCUGUAUGCUCACACUGAAACCAGUGUAUUUAAAAAAUUAGCCCCGCCCUCUUCCGUCCCCUCAAAAAGGCGAAAACCUCCCAAACCUAUAGUUUUGAAGAUAAAAGAAAACUAAAAACGCCAUUCCUUAGGGAAUGACCAUAUCUAUCAGAUCAAUAAUUGGAUCCGAUUGGAUGAUUAUUAUAGCCACAAUGAAUAAAUUUAUUUGCAGUGGCUAAACCCACCCCGUCCCGCAGCUUAUAUUAGUUUUUUUUGCACAUUCUCUCAUUCACACUCUGCUUCGCGCAGUCACGUCUCUGCCUCUGCCGCGUCUCUGCCCUGACUCUGCAGUGUGUGGCUCUAGGGGAGGGUGGCGAGCUAAAGGAGCGUGUUGGCGUGAGACGUUUUGUAGAUGUAGGUGACAGAUGAAGAAAAAAUUUAAAAUUUGACAAAUAACCGCUAAGGUACAGAUGUAGUACUGAGUGCCGAGUACAAAAGUUGUGACGCGUAAGAAGCGUCUCACACGUCCCUUCUCGUUAAAUUUUAAGUUCAUUUUUCAAAAGUGGUGCUCUUAUUUUUUUUUGCCCAAUUUUAUAAUUUUCACUCAAUUUCCGUAAAUAACUUAAAGCCCGUUAAAAAAUAAGAUUUUUGUGUUAUUCCCAGAUUUGUGAGUCUUCCAUUUCAAAAAAUGUGCUUAAUGUUUCCUUAUAGUUGAAAAUGUGAGUUGGGCAACUAUUUGUGAAAUUGCUUGUGCUGUUGGUGCUAUUAUUUUUUUCACAGCUGUACAUAUGUAUGUGCAUACAAUCCAUACGCAGUGCUUUUCAUUUUAAAUUUGAAAAGCUGUAAGUUAUAUGCCCUUGAGGGUUGCGCUGUCAAAAUUAUAUCCAAAUGUCAAUAUAUUGAUAUUUUCUCUAAAUAAAACGAGAAGGGACGUGUGAGACGCUUUUUACGCGUCACAACUUUUAUACCCGGCACUCAGAACUACAUCUGCACCUUAGCGGUGUUUUGUCAAAUUUUAAAUUUUUUCUUCAUCUGUCAUCUACAUCUACAACACUUCUCACACCAACACGCUCCGUUAGCUCGCCGCCCUUCCCUAGACCCACAUACUGUAGACUCGAGGCAGAGGCAGAAGCACCGUCCGCACACAAAAAAAAAACGAGAAGGGACGUGUGAGACGUUUCUUACGCGUCACAACUUUUGUACUCGGUACUCAGGACUACAUCUGCACCUUAGCGUUGUUAUGUCAAAUUUUAAAUUUUUUCUUCAUCUGUCUUCUACAUCUACAACACUUCUCACACCAACACGCUCCGUUAGCUCGCCGCCCUUCCCUAGACCCAGGCAGCGCACGCACACAAAAAAAAAAGAAAUAUAAGCUGCGGGACGGGGUGGGUUUAGCCACUGCAAGUAAAUUUCUUCAUUGUGGCUAUAAUAAUCAUCCAAUCGUAUCCAAUUUGAUGAUCUGAUAGAUAUAAGUAUUCCCUACGGAAUGGCGCUUUUAGUUUUCUUUUAUCUUCAAAAUUGUGGGUUUGGAAGGUUUUCGCCCUUUUGCGGGGGCGGAAGGGGACGGGGCUCCUUUUUGAAAUACACUUGUAACAGUGUGUGAAGUCUGGAUGCAAAAUUUAGUGGCUCUAGCUUUUGUGGUCUCUGAGAUCCAGUCGCUCAAGAAGACGAACGGACAGACGGACGGACAGACAGACAUGGCUCAAUCGACUCGGCUAUUGAUGCUGAUCAAGAAAAUAUAUACUUUAUGGGGUCGGAAACGUUUCCUUCUGUGCGGUACACACAACCUUUAUUCGCACAAAUACAAUAUACCCUAUUUACUCUUCGAGUACCGGGUAUAAAAACAAUAGGUACCGAAAUACCAACUGAGGACCGGGUAUAACAGUUGUGACGCGUAUACAUAAUAUACCGUAAAAUAUACCUAUUAAACAUAAUAUAUUUAUAUAAAUAAAACGUAACAAACCCAUAUUAUUUCUUUAUUAGAGAUCAUUUCUUUCCUUUCGUAGUAGUCCUUUAAAUACAAACCUUUAUUGUCCUUUAUAUUAACCGUAUUCUCUAUCUUCAUCACUUUUUAAUAUCCUUUGGAUUAUAUUUCUGUCUUAAAUUUUGUCUUAUAUACAAUAAUACAUUAGAUACAUUAUUGUUUGUAAAUCUAUUUCUAAUGUUGAUUUUUAUUCAAGUCUCUUCAGAGAAUAUUUUCUCGUACGGGAAGUAUAUGUAGGCCCAUUGCACAUUACGGCAUAAAGCAACUAUAUAAGGAGGCCUCGUCGGUGGCAGAGUUACUCGCUGCGUUACCCAAUUCUCAGUGCACGUUUGCUUCUCGACGCGGAAGGUUGGUUGCGGACAACAUUUUUUUGUCUAUUUUUUUAUUAAUGUUUAUUUUUUUCGGAACAGAGGCUACUAUUAUGUAGCAAACUAUUAAAAAUUAAAUUAUGAAACAAUUAUUAUGUUUUUUCACUUUGCCUUCAAAUGAUUAAUCAGCGCACUCCAUUGUCGUUGCCCUCACACUUACAGCGAGAGCACUUUCACUCGCACUUUUCACUCGCACUAGUCCAUAAUUUUUUCCGACGAGACCUCCUUAUAUAGUUGCUU